This 224-nucleotide long non-coding RNA is filed under the name Trifolium pratense (red clover). Its description in RNAcentral is "long non-coding RNA (TPRA_LNC008025)". Lineage: Eukaryota; Viridiplantae; Streptophyta; Magnoliopsida; Fabales; Fabaceae. The record is from RNAcentral.
GCUUCCAAACCCAAAGCUCAAACAAAUGUCGCUGAGAAGAAAGGAAAAGAAAAAUCUGUUGAGAAAAAGGAAGAAAUCAUCAAAGUAAGUGAUGCUAUCUCUCCUUUGGGUAAUAAACCUAGUAAAGGAAGUUCUAAAAGGAAAAGAAGGGAUUACAAAUCUAAGUUUUCUCUGUCUAUGUCUGAUUUGGUGUUUGAUUCGAAUGUUAACACAUCUGAGAAAAC